AUGAACGCUAGCGACAGGCCUAACACAUGCAAGUCGAGGGGCAGCACAAGGAGCAAUCUGAGGUGGCGACCGGCGCACGGGUGAGUAACACGUAUGCAACCUGCCUGUAAGCGGGGAAUAACCCGUUGAAAGACGGACUAAUACCGCAUAAUACUAAAUUACUGCAUGGUAAUUUAUUUAAACAUUUAUGGCUUACAGAUGGGCAUGCGCAUGAUUAGCUAGUUGGAGAGGUAACGGCUCCCCAAGGCAACGAUCAUUAGGGGUUCUGAGAGGAAGGUCCCCCACACUGGUACUGAGACACGGACCAGACUCCUACGGGAGGCAGCAGUGGGGAAUAUUGGUCAAUGGACGAGAGUCUGAACCAGCCAAGUCGCGUGCAGGAAGAAUGUUCCCUAUGGAUUGUAAACUGCUUUUGCAGGGGAAUAAGGUGCAUCACGUGUGAUGUUUUGUAUGUACUCUGCGAAUAAGGAUCGGCUAACUCCGUGCCAGCCGCAGC
RNAcentral lists this ribosomal RNA (496 nucleotides) under uncultured bacterium. RNAcentral's name for it is "bacterial SSU rRNA". It matches the Rfam family "Bacterial small subunit ribosomal RNA", at positions 29 to 518 of the family's 1533-position model. The record is from RNAcentral.